RNAcentral lists this non-coding RNA (120 nucleotides) under unclassified sequences. The record is from RNAcentral.
CCCUGUCGACGGAUCGCCACCUUGACGAGGUGACAGGGCUCACGGACACGAUGACCCCCCGGUUCGCUGGCACUCCGGUGUCACGCGGCCCGUGGGGCGAGUGUCUGUGCCAAGAGCGGU